CUGCUGAGGACAGUCCUCCAGGCAGGCUGUUGGUCGCCCUCCCACAUCUCCAUCCUCACAUUCCCUGACCCUGCUCUGGGUCUGUAAUCACAGUUCUGGAAACUUCUCUGGAGCCCAGGGUUACUGGCUCUGAGGACCCCAUGGACCUGUCCCUCACAGGUGUGUUCUCCUCACAGGUGGAAAGAAAGGGCACUACGCUCAGACUGCCCGCAGCGACAGUGACCAGGGCUCUGAUGUAUCUCUCAUGGCUCCUAAAGUGUGAGUCGGCGGCCUGUAGGAAGCGGCCAGAUGUGAGCAGCACAGCAGUGACCUUUAAAUUCGGCGUAACCGCAGACCUUGUAGUAAUGCUGCAGAGCUAAUGCAACAUGAUUAUUCCUUGCCCUUUCUGCCUCCGCUGCUGCCAUGGCACCUGUAGGAAAGCUUGUGGUGAAGGGAGCAAACAAAAGAAGCACAUUCUGAAGUUUCCCCUUGACGGCACCCUCCCUGUCGGAGAUGGUGUCAUGGAGGCUGCCAAGUUUGAGCAGUUUCUCCAAGAGAGAACCAAAGUGAGAGGAAAAACUGGGAUCUCGGUGGAGGGGUGUGACCACUGGAAGGAGCAAGAGCAAGGUCACCGUGACCUCCAGCGUGCCUUUUCCCAAAAGGUAUUUGAACUCUGACCAAAAAUAUUGACAAAGAAUAAGCUACGUGGUUGGCUGUGCAGUGCUGACAGCAACGGGAGUUAGGAAUGACCUUACUUCCAGAGGAACCAGGAUGGAGAAGAGGAGGACGAGGAGGAUUAAAGCUCAUUUAUCUGGGCAGAGCCAGUGACUUGGUGGUUAAGGUGCUGGACACUCUCACAUGGCCAACCACGGUUUCAGUCUCAGACUGGCUGGCUUACUUUCUCCCUUUCUCUCUCUCUCUGUCACUGGUCAAAAUAAAAAUAAAGUUAAUAAAUCAUUUUUAAAAACUCACUUAUCUGGCAUAGUUAGUGAGUUCUUGACUAAAACUUGGGAACUAAAGAAACAAGGACACCUUUCUUCCUCUGUGUCAGCACUGCAGGGGGCGUCUGGUGGUGUUGGUUAAAGGAGGCUGUUAGCCAGAGAAGGUCCGGGAAGGUAAGCGAAAGCGCCUACAGGACUCCAAGAUGCCGGAGGGUCACAUCUUCUGCCUAAACAUCAGAAAACGGGCUUUGUGUUCCACUCCUCCGGCAGAGGAGUCUGGACCACCCGAUCCCCACUUUUCUCUACUUGUGUGUCUCUGUGUGUUUCCAAUCCACUGCCGCUUCCACGCAGGAACACGUUCAGCCACGGCAGUGGCCUUGUGAGGGCAAGGAUAUGUGACGUCGGGGUCCCCGACCGCUCUCCCUGCACCUGGCGUCUGACUGUGUCUGCGUGUCGGUGUCCCUGCAGCCUAGUGUGAGGGGACAGGGACUCAGGCCGUCCCCGACACCAGGGCCCCUCCCACUGCCCUGUGCCCUCUGCCCUGACCAGCUUUCCUGCUCCAGGAGGGGCAGGACAUGACGUCUCCACCCCGACUCCCCUGUGGCACACUCAGCCGCACCUUCCUGCUUCCUUGCUCAAAAUUAAAUUCUGGGUAUUGAUUUUUU
Long non-coding RNA from Tupaia belangeri chinensis (Chinese tree shrew), 1585 nucleotides. RefSeq lists it as uncharacterized. The record is from RefSeq and is a predicted model, not a curated record. NCBI's taxonomy places the organism in Eukaryota, Metazoa, Chordata, Mammalia, Scandentia, Tupaiidae. The transcript is spliced from 3 exons.